GCUCCAUAUUUAGACCGGCGCGGUCCAGAUAUAGCGUGUGUAUUAACUGCAGCUCCAUUUGAAAGCAGGUGAUGGGGAUUUACCGCUAAUCAUAGAACCGGCUUUACUGACGAGAUGCGCAUGAUCAUAUCGGUCGAUAUAUUGUCCAGCCCUAACAGUGUGUAUAAAUAGCAAACAGCGGUUCACUGCCGGACAGAUGACCUUUGAUCAAGCUUCUGAUGUGAACUGACACUUAUUCUGCAUUAUAUAUGUACACUAAACAUUGUUUUUUGGUUUUUGUUUUUCUGUUAGAGUAAUAUUUUAAUGUUCAUGGCAAACUUCUAAUUCAUAUCACAAGCAUCAUUUUAUGAAUUUGUUACCAUUUAUUAGGCAAGAGAACAAAGGAGUUUAACAUUUAAAUGGGUUACACUUUAUUUCGAUUGUCCACUUCUACUAACUGUAAUUAACGACAUGCUAACUAACUGUCAUCAGAGCGUUUGCAGACUGUCAGGUUACACAGUAAAUUACAGUCAGUAGAUCAUCUGUUGACUGACCAUCAAAUUAAAAUUUUAGUUUUAAUGUUUAAUGUUUCAAUGAAAACAAAAACGAGUUUUCCUGUAAAUGGACCUCGCGCUCGACGCCUCUAUGACGCGCCCAGUGUGCGCGCGCGUGAUCUCACCGCGGGAGCGCGCCAGAAGACAGACGUGCGCGAGCUCAUGAGUUUAAUCUUAUAUUUUUGCCCCAGAAUGAACAAUACCAGCGAGAAUGAGCCCAACAGCCCGGAAGAAGAGGUCAGGACUCUGUUUGUCAGUGGUUUGCCGCUGGAGAGCUUUACCUGUUAUUCAGGCCUUUUCAGGUGCGUGGAGAAAUCCAUUGUGCGUUUGAUCUGAAUCCAUAAGAGACAAACAUUUAAAUGUGUUUUCCUUAAAUUAAUGAAAUGAAAUUACUGUCAACAUGAACUGUGUUUCAUUUCUGAUUCUCUUCAUUAGGGUUACAAAGGAUCCUUAAUCAAAUUUACCUCUAAGCAGGUGAGAAAUAUGAAUGAUUCCUCCAAGUAUAUGAAUCACAAGGAUUUAAUGAAUAUUAUACCUAUGUGACACAUUCAUAUUCUCAAUGGACCCUUUUUACUGUUCCAGGGAUGUCUAAAGUCUCAUAAAAUCAUCCUAAACUCGGUCUGAGACCGCAGUAAAGAUAGUUUGUGGUUUGAUAUUCAGAUUUCUUUUGGCUAUAAAUACGCAGUGCGCUGUCAUAGACAUGCAAAUAAUACCGAAUCUCAUUCUCUAUGAUUUGUGAAUUCAGGUGACGCUGUUCUUCGGGUAGAAAUCAGGGUUUUUUUCGUAGUGACUCUUAAUUGUAUAAUGUCUAUAGCUCCAAAAGUGGGACACUUAGAGGAAUGAAACCGGUGUCAUCUUCAGCAGCUUGAUCUGGGAAUGUUUUCACAGCAAAGCUCUUGUCUGUGAACCCCUUGGUAAGUCCACCAGUAAGAAAUGAGAAAGAAAGGCGUUCUUCAUGUUAAACGUCUAUUACCAAUAAACACGCAGACUGCUGGAAUACA
Long non-coding RNA from Cyprinus carpio (common carp), 1534 nucleotides. Lineage: Eukaryota; Metazoa; Chordata; Actinopteri; Cypriniformes; Cyprinidae. The record is from Ensembl.